AUGCUUAAUCUGUCUCUGAGCUGUGAGGAGGACGACAGCUCUGCUGGAUGGACUCUGAGGAGAAACACAAGCAAAGAACAGAGGACUCAGUGUGGAGAUGGGUGGGGAACAUCAGCUGGUUCUUCCUGUAACAUCAGCUACAUGGCUGUGUCUGACAGAGGAGUUUACUGGUGUGAGUCCAGAGAGGGUCCCAUCAGUAACAUGGUUAACCUGACAGUCACUGGUGGAUCAGUGAUCCUGCAGAGUCCUGUCCUCCCUGUGAUGGAGGGAGAUGACGUCACUCUGCUCUGUAAAACAAAGACCACUCCCUCCAACCUCCCAGCUGCUUUCUAUAAAGAUGGCUCCCUCAUCAGGAAGCAGCCUACAGGUCACAUGACCAUCCAGCAUGUUUCCAGGUCUGAUGAAGGCCUCUACAAGUGUGACAUCAGCGGUCAUGGAGAGUCUCCAUCCAGCUGGAUCACUGUCACAGACAAACACACCACCACACCUCCACCUACAUCCACACCUCCACCUACAUCCACCUCUCCUCCUGAUUUCUCCUGUGUCCCUCUAUCACUCUUUUCUCUUGUCCUCACUGUGUCAGUUAUUAGUUCAGUCUGUGUUUUGGUUCUACUGGUGUUACUGGUUCUGCUGGUGAGACGACAAGUUCAAAGGAAAACUGAAUGGGAGGAGUUGGAGAUGAUGACAUCACGUACAGCAAAGGCUCAAGUCAUCAACAACAGCCAAUCAGAGGAAGCAGAGACUUUAAACCAGAGCCAGACGUCGUCUACUCCUCACUGAACUAGUCCACCAGUCCAACCACUGACGUCCAGCUGCUGGUCUCUAACUGGUCCACACAGCCACACAAUGUUGAUUUGCAUAUAUUCUGUAGUGUCUUCUCAUUAUAAUAUACACUCUCAGUGUUUGUAUGAGUGUAUAUAGUAUAACUAAAAUAUAAAUGUCAUCUGCACAGCAGUGUCCUGCCUUCUCUGCAGCAUCAAUAAACUUUGCUGUCACGUGUUGU
Molecule: long non-coding RNA, 1003 nt
Organism: Oreochromis niloticus (Nile tilapia)
Lineage: Eukaryota; Metazoa; Chordata; Actinopteri; Cichliformes; Cichlidae
Product: low affinity immunoglobulin gamma Fc region receptor II
Exons: 7
Source: RefSeq, a predicted model, not a curated record